GUGGGGAAUCUUCCGCAAUGGACGAAAGUCUGACGGAGCAACGCCGCGUGAGUGAUGAAGGUCUUCGGAUUGUAAAGCUCUGUUAAUCGGGACGAAAGAGCCUAGUGUGAAUAAUGCUAGGAAGUGACGGUACCGGAAUAGAAAGCCACGGCUAACUACGUGCCAGCAGCCGCGGUAAUACGUAGGUGGCAAGCGUUGUCCGGAAUUAUUGGGCGUAAAGCGCGCGCAGGCGGAUCUGCCAGUCUGUCUUAAAAGUUCGGGGCUUAACCCCGUGAUGGGAUGGAAACUACCGAUCUAGAGUAUCGGAGAGGAAAGUGGAAUUCCUAGUGUAGCGGUGAAAUGCGUAGAUAUUAGGAAGAACACCAGUGGCGAAGGCGACUUUCUGGACGAAAACUGACGCUGAGGCGCGAAAGCCAGGGGAGCGAACGGGAUUAGAAACCCCGGUAGUCC
RNAcentral lists this ribosomal RNA (450 nucleotides) under uncultured bacterium. RNAcentral describes it as "partial 16S ribosomal RNA". It matches the Rfam family "Bacterial small subunit ribosomal RNA", at positions 354 to 796 of the family's 1533-position model. The record is from RNAcentral.